UCCCAGGCAAUCAGAUCUGAAUCACCGAGUGUUGUCUUUUAAACCAUAUUACUCUACAGUUUACUGUGGGGUAUUUUCACUUAGUUACUAUGUUUUCAUUAGUUAAUUUAUGGGAUAUAGUUUGAUCAUUAUUAUUUGUUGUUGUGUUGUUGAGUUGCUAAGCCAUGUCCAGCUCUUUGUGACCCCAUGGACUGCAGCAUGCCAGGCUUCCCAGUUGUUCACCAUCUCCUGGAGUUUGUGCAAAUUCAUGUCUGUUGAGUCAAUGAUGCUAACCAUCUCAUCCUCUGUUGCCCCCUUCUUCUCCUGCCCUCAAUCUUCCCCAGCAUCAGGGUCUUUCCUGAUGAAUCGGCUCUUUGCAGCAGGGGGCCAAAGUAUUGGAACUUCAGCUUCAGCAUCAGGGCUUCCAAUGAAUAAUUCAGGGUUGAUUUAAGAUUGACUGAUUUGAUCUUGUUGUCCAUGGGACUCUCAAGAAUCUUUCCCAGGACCACAGUUCAAAAAUAUAAAUUCUUCAGUGCUCAGCCUUCAUUAUGGUCCAACUCUCACAUCUGUACAUGACUACUGGAAAAAAAAAUUGCUUUGACUAUACAGGCCUUUGUCAGCAAAAGUGAUGUCUCUGCUUUUUAAUAUGCUGUCUAGGUUUGUCAUCACGUUUCUUCCAAGGAGCAUCUUUUAAUUUCAUGGCUGCAGAUACCAUCUGCAGUGAUUUUCAAGCCCAGGAAAAGAAAAUCUGCCACUGUUUCCACAUUUCCCCUUCUAUUUGCCAUGAAGUGAUGGGGCUGGAUGCCAUGAUCUUAGUUUUCUGAAUGUUGAGUUUUAAGCCAGCUUUUUCACUCUCCUCUUUCACUGAUAAUUAAACAGGAAAAAAAAAAAAUCUCUGCGAGGGGCCUAGCGUUGGUUUCUUAGCCUCCCCACCUGAUGGCCACAGGCACCUGGUGGGGAGUCACAGAACACAGCGCUGUUUCCUGCGGGCUGAUGGAGCACACAGGCGUCAGAGGUCUCAGGAGAAGCGCUGGCCAGAGCUCCUAUUGUUUAAAAGGAAAUUCCUCGAGGCCCAGCGGAAAGCCUCCUACACUUGGAGAAUCCAUCGGAAGCCCACAUCCUC
Molecule: long non-coding RNA, 1102 nt
Organism: Bos taurus (domestic cattle)
Lineage: Eukaryota; Metazoa; Chordata; Mammalia; Artiodactyla; Bovidae
Source: Ensembl